GUUAGUAAUGCGUGACCGACCUCGCCCCAUGCUCCGGAAUAGCUCCUAGGAAACGGGUGGUAAUGCCGGAUGUUCCACAUGAUCGCAUGUGAUUGUGGGAAAGAUUUCAUCGGCGUGGGAUGGGGUCGCGUCCUAUCAGCUUGUUGGUGAGGUAACGGCUCACCAAGGCUUCGACGGGUAGCCGGCCUGAGAGGGCGACCGGCCACACUGGGACUGAGAUACGGCCCAG
Molecule: ribosomal RNA, 229 nt
Filed under: uncultured Bifidobacteriales bacterium
Lineage: Bacteria; Bacillati; Actinomycetota; Actinomycetes; Bifidobacteriales
Description: partial 16S ribosomal RNA
Rfam family: Bacterial small subunit ribosomal RNA
Source: RNAcentral